CUUUUUUGUCAUCGGCACAACUAUUCUAUGUACUUUACUGCUCCAGAGAACCAAGUAUUUGCUUUUUGGUCAGUACAUUGAUCUCUAUAGACCUAACAUUAUUUUUUUCUGAUUUCCUCCUCGGAUAUUGUAAAAUGAGAUUGUCUGAAGUGUCAGUGCCUGGGAGAAGAUAGAAAAAGAAGAGAGUCACUUUAUUCUGAAGUAUACCUGUGGGAUAACAUGAUUUAUAUGACAACAAUAAAACCAGCGCAGACAGGCUACAAACUCUCCAAAGCAUAUCUCUGCAAUAUCCACUGAGAAUAAACAGUUUUUAUUUCACUGAAGUGAAUUUGUAACUUGUCAUGAGUUUACGAGGAAGUUGUCUAAAAAAUGAAAGUGUUCUUUUAGUUGACAUGACCAUCACAACAUCUCCAUUGAAGUAACCAAAAACAAUAAACUGCUGAAAUAGUACGCUAAAUAUAUACAAAAGAAAAAUCAAUAUUAUACUAGAAUAUGUAUAUUCUUUAUGGUACCUGAAAGCAACAGAGCAUACGUUUUGGACUUAAAUAAAAGACAUGGGCCAUUUUCUUAACAGUACUUCGCCAGUCUGAAUGAGGUAUAACUGUAAAAACUUAUUUGCUGUUUUCCCAUAAUUUCAGUCAAUUUUAGAGUUGUCUCUGUUUCUAGACAGUAAUCCAGAGAUGAUGAAGACAGGCCACCAGCUGCCAGCUGUUGGAUAAUAAAGCAAGGUCUUUAAUGCGUUCAUUGGCAGAUUGCUGCUGCCGCUAUGAAGGAGACGCAUACAGCGAGCCACAGUUUACGACCGUCGAGCUCACACCCUGCCAACCGAAUUGGCUUCUCACUCCUCCGCUUGGAACCGGGAAUCACGAAGAGAACACGUCCUGCUGAUUGGUCACGUCUGAUUGGUCGAUGUGGCCAAGUGCUGGAUUAAUUGCCGUUGUCAUAAUGCUAUGGCAACACAAGGCUAUUACCCUGAUGGUGGACAUUCAUCAUGUGACGGCAGACGCGAGGCUCCAGCUCAGUGUACUGUGGCGUGGUUGUCUACAAACACUAGUCAUUCCUCUUGUGUGCAUCCUGUUAUACAAAACAUGUCUGCCCGCCCGCUCCGUUGUCAAGCUCCGUUCAGCCACUCAGAACCACAGACACGGCUGCACUUAGUCUUCGCUGAUGGCUGAAUGAAAAAAAAAAUAAACAUACAGACCUACUGCAGUGAUCAGAGAACGGGCCCACGUUCCCAUUCACCCUGGGCUAAUGCAAAUUAAUUUCAACUCUCCAGCAAAUGAUUCCAGGGGACUCGGCCUCUCACUAGGCCCGCAACAAGAGAGAGUUGCAUCCUCUUGAUUAGACGCCAAAUAGUAACCCUGUUCAGUCCACUGCAGUCCGGGACUUCAACACCUGCAUACAAAUGAGUUACACGUCCAUGUCCAUCUCUCUGUCGCUCCCACCCUCUUCUCUUUCAAUCUCGGCCUCUCUCUGUCGCCCUCUUUCUUAUCGUAACCCCGCCUCCGUGUUCAUUACAUUUCAGCAGAUGAAAUCAAAAUGAAGGACCUGAAAGAAAAAUAUGAGUAUUGGACAGCAAUCUUGUCCCAGUACCUAUUAAGCCCCAUGAAAUUCAGUAACUGAAGCAUAAAAUGAAAAUGAAAGGAAGAUUCUGACUGUAAUUUCCCAAUUUCCUCCCAGCAUAUUAGACAAAUUCUAAUCAUGCUGUCCCUCUACAUUGUGUCAUCCAGGAAUUUCAAUAGUUCUUCAAUGUUUAAUUCACAUUUAGUUUACUUUCAACUCUUCUGAAGUGACUUUCGACGACAGCUCCGGAAAAAAAACGGGUUCUGUCCGAGGCUGCUGUGCUGCAUGAAUCAACGAUACGUUUUCUUUUUGGCUUCAAAGCCACUCACGUACAUGAAAGGCACACGUGAUUGAACCUAGUUUGUUUCUUUUCUACAAUCACAUAACCUUGAAGCGAGGGUAGCUCACCUACGUGCACACCAUGAAAUAGUUAUUGAACAUCUGAUUUGAAUGACAGGUGAACCGGAGUCACACGGAAGGAUAUGGUUGGGCCAAAACCAAUUGCAUUCUCUGUAUACUCCAGUUAGAUACACUUUGGACAGCAAGGUGAAAUAUAACCAUUCCAUCUGUUAUUUCAUUUAUUUCACUGUGACUUCUAAGAUCAUCAUCUCAGGCAAUACAAAGAGUAUUUCCAACAAGUCCCCUGCUCGACAAACCUAGAUACUGAUUGAUUUCAUUAAUGCGGUCCGCACAGGUAGUAUAAAUAUGUUUUCCUCCAUUUCACGCCAGAUGCACAGCACACAUCAAAUGUUUGGUUAACUUAAACUAUUGCUGAACUAAAUUAAAAUCCUGCACAACGACAACCUGGCUAUUUUUCUAUUGUCAUGUCUAUGCACAUUAGAAGGAGUAAAUUGAUAUUUCCUAA
Molecule: long non-coding RNA, 2428 nt
Organism: Esox lucius (northern pike)
Lineage: Eukaryota; Metazoa; Chordata; Actinopteri; Esociformes; Esocidae
Source: Ensembl